UUUAAAACCUGUACUUUGCCAUAUAAAGAUCUCCUGGAGAGCUAAGCCAGUCAAGUGAUUUCUGUUUUGUUUUGUUUUCAACUAAAGAAAUCAUCUGAGGUUGUAUUAGUAUGAUGCCAAAAUUGUUACGGAACCUGGACUGGAUUGCCCAACGGAAGAACCAAGUGGCGCUCGCAGAUCUUGGAGGAUGGGAGGUUUAUUUAACGUUGGCGGGCUCAGAGGAGAGUGACCUCCAAAGGUCUGAGCCCCGAGCACAAACAAAGGGGGCAAUUUCUGCACUUCUACUUCUGCAUACUUGGCACUUUUGGUGUGUGCGCAAGCGGGGCAGGGGGAAGGACCCGGACUGGUGCGCAUGGGAAGCAGAGCAGGGAGAAGAACCCGGAAGAGCCCCAGGGCAAGGACUGGGACUCUCUCACUGGAUCUGUCAGCCAUCUUAGGACACAGAUUUUCCUUAUCAAAAUAACUGAUUAAGAAGUAAAAAAAGGCAAUUUGGUUAUUUUAGUUUUAUUGAAUUUAAACUUUUUACUUUCUAUUAGGCAAACUCUCAGGGAAAAGCCUGGAAAAAUUCUCAUGAGACGUAUGAAAGUCCUGAAAUGGAACAGGCAUGACAUGUAUUACUGCGAAUGAAUCCUAUACGCUAAAGAAAAGCAGGAGAGCAUCCGAGGACAUCCUGGUGUGGCAGCAGGACAGAGCCCUGCCUCAGAGCCUUCGGAAUCUAGAAGCCCUGGGAGACACAGAGGAUGACAGAACUUUGGAGGGCACCUCAGAUGCCAGCACAUUUGCUGCCCUCCCUUAUCUCACCUGAAGGGCCCAUCUGACCUCAACUCCCACAGGGUGCAAUGCUCCUCACCCUGCUGGUGACAGGCACUCCUUCUUGGCUUCCAGAUUUCCAGCAGUCCAGCCCGAGCCCAGACUCUGUGGGGACCUCUUGCUCUCUGGCCAAAGCUGUGAUUGAACAGGCUCCCUAUAGCUUGAACAACCAGGUGAAUGGUGGUGCCAUUUACUGAGGUGGGAAAGACUGAGGUAAGAACUUGUUUUGGGAUAAGUAAUUUUGUGAGUAAGAAAUGAUCCCAGAGGCUAUUAAGAUGAUAUAUGAACAUAUACUCAAUGGUGCAUAUAUAUUCAUAUACACACGCAUAUAUUUAAGUGUAUGCAACUACAUGGCAAGACAUGCAGACCCAGGGAGGGAGGGAGAGAGAAAGAGAUGGGGGGGGGCAGAAUAAUUUUGUAAAAAAUUAUCCCAACUGAUGAUGGAUGACUAAGGACUAUUCAUUACUCUUUGCCCUCAAAGACAGAGAUUUUACCUUAUUUAUCUUUCUAGUCCCCAUAACACACACCACUCUCACCUCCAUGUGAUAGAAUAUUCAUACACUUUUUUACUAAAUGGUGUUAGCAUAUUCCGUGUAGAGUGAGCUUGAGAAAUAAUCUGGAGACAAUUUUUAGAGCUCCUCAGUAUUCCACAGAUUCAGUUAUACCCAGGUCAACUCAUGCCUUGCAUUUGCCGAAUGUUUUCAAUACCUUUCUUUGCUUUUUCAGUAUUGUAAUAGAACAGGGAAGAACUUAAAAUGUGAGUAUGUUCUUUGUCUCUAAGGCUGAUAACUGAUAGAAUUUGAACAAACAGAUAUGUUUUGUUACUUAUUAACAUUUAAUACUAAUAACAUGUAUAAUUUAUAAAACAUUUUCAUAGUCAUUACAGAUUUGAUAAAGAUAAACUCUUGAGGUAUCAUCGUUAUGCCCAAAUGACAGAGGGGGAGACAUGCUCAGAGAACGUAAGCACACAGGUGGCGUGCAGCAGAGCUAAGAUUCAUGCACAUGUCUUCCACCUCUGGAAUCUAUACAAUAAUAAAAGGAUUGAUAGAAGCAGCAGCUCUGGGGAUGUAUAUGAAUUGAAGUUAUUCCUGAUUCCUAUUACCAGGACUAAUUUGAAAUAACUCCACAUAUUUCAAAAUUUCUAAUUAAAAAAUUUUGGUAAUGUCCUUUUAAAAUGCGCCAUCUGUGAUUCUCCAGCAACUUGUCAUGGUGGAUCUGUGGUUUAUUUUCAAUAUGUAAGUUAUUAAUUCAUAAUCAAAGUGAACUACAAUGCUAGUCAAAGAAACUCAUCAACAGGUAAAUCUUCCAUUAAAGAAAGGAUUUUUAAAAGUGUUCUUUUGGCUAGUUCAUUAUAAGAUUUUUUAAAUUAAAAUUAUUCCCAUUAUAGCAAGCUGAUCCUUAUUAUAUCAGGUUGAGAAAUUAUUUUGACUAGCAUAUUGUCUUUAGUCAUAAACUCAUGUCAUUAGGCAUACAGAAAAUCACAUUAAAGAGACCUUCUUCCCCUUCAGGGAUUGACACACAUGAUAUAAAACUAGAAUACAGUGAUUGGAUCUAAUUUUCUUCCAUUGUUAUUUAAAAAUAUAACCUAGGGCGCCUGGGUGGCUCAGUCCGUUAAGUGACUGACUCUUGACUUUGGCUCAGGUCAUGAUCUCAGGUUGUGAGAUCAAAGCACCCCAACCCCAGCGAGAAGUCUGCUUGAGAUUCUUUGCUGCUCCCUCUCCCUCUGCUCCUCCCUCCGCAUGUGCAUGCACUUUCUCCCUCUCUCAAAAAAAAAAAAAAAAAAUAUAUAUAUAUAUAUAUAUAUAUAACAUAUAAACACCUGGCUUCUAGCCAACAAGAACUAACCUGAGACAUCAUUAUGGGAUGUUAUUAACAUUAAGCAAAUGAAGAUUCAAUCCUGAUUCUCAGAAUGUGUUUUCACAAAGCAAGGAAUUAUAUUUGAUGUGAAAGUACCAUGCUGUAUUUUUCCAACUGAACAGAAAUAUGCCCUGCAUUUUAGAUAACAAAAAAUAACCCCACAGACUGUCACUCAAAUUAAGAAUGUAUACAUCAUUUGUCAUUACAAAGAAGCGUUCAAAAUAAUUUCUCAUUCUCACUGUUACUUCUUUUGACCUACAGGUUAUUUAAAAUACAUGAAUUUUUUUCUAGUUACCUUUUAUUUUUUACUACUAGCUUAAUUUUUUUUUGGUCAAAUAUGUAGUCUGUGAUUUCAACAAUUUGACAUUUGUUUGAGGAUUGAUUUUGAGGCUCUAUUAUUAAUAAAAUUGUAGAAAUAGUAUAACUUUUUCAUGAAAUAAACAAUUAUCAUUGUGAAGAACCCUCUUUAUCUCCUUUCUUUUUUCUGGCCCACCUUCUUCUCCUUUCACAGACUACACAUUCAUUGCUUACGACCAAGCAAAAGAAGGUGCCUCUUUACUUACAAAAAAAUUAAUACAAUUACUCUGAAAGAAAAUGUAAUGGUUAACAAGAACCAAGUCAAUCUCAUGAAAAGAUCCAGCUAUAUCUCAAGUGAGGUCUGCUGUGAGAUUAUGAGUCUGUCAGCGUAUGGUGUGGAAGCUGUCACUCCUCUCCCCUCCCCCCUCCUCCCGGCCUCCUGUAGGAGAGUGAGGAGGGGUCUGAACACAGAGUUUCAGGAAGGCUGUGUGAUCUGCGCCGCCCUCCCCCGCAACACAUCCUGGCCUUCCUGGCUCAAAGCCAUCUAAGACAUGGGAACUCCAGGAGUCAUACCCUUGGAUCUGUCCUAGGUAAUUACAGCUGUCUAUAAAAAUACUUCAUCUGGAAGGUAUCUGGCAUUCUCAAAGGAAAAUUUAGUUUUAGUCAGCCUUUCUAAAAAGUAACCAGUCACAGGAGAGGCUCCUUCUAGUCAAAUUAGUUAAUUUGGAAGAAAUAUCACUUCACUACUAUAGUAGUUCAACUGUAAGGAAUAUGAUGGUUGUUUUGGUUGAAUUUCACUCAAUAUGAUUCAACUUAAGCUUUGAAAAAAAGCUUAGGUCAACAAUUAGUCAGCACCUUAGUUUCUGCCAAGUGUGGACUGAACUUUCCAAAGCCAAGUUGGGGUUGGAAAGAGCCAAUGGGAAAAAGGGAGCAAGGGGUCAUUCUGAGUUCAGCCCAGGAUUUGGGGCAUGCUUUCCAAACUCUGCCAUUCCAUGCUGCCCACGGAUUAAGCAGGGCAAAAUGAUUAACAAAAGUGUACGUAUGUGUGUGUACUGGAGACACGGUCAACCAUUUCAAAAAUGCCCUGACCGACAAGAAUGCAUUUCUCAGCCAUGGAUCAAGAGGAAAAUGAUCACACCUCGUAGCAGAUUUUGGACAUGCACUGCUUGCAUGAAAGUCUCAGAAAAUUAACUAUGAGCUGACUUUGACUCUGUCCCUUCCUAGUUACCUACAAACCCUUAAAGAAAAAGACAAUGGCUUAUUUGUUUUGAUUCCCUCACACACACACAAUGCCCAGCACAUAGUAAAUGCUUAAUGAAUAGUUGUCAAAUGAUGAGAUAAUAUCAAGAGACUAAUGCAGGGGGAGCCACUUCAUAAUCUGGCUAUGCUAUGAGGCUCCCCAGGGUAGAAGGAUGUACAGAUCCAAGUUCACUGGAAGAAAAAGCCUUCGAACUUACAGCCAAUCACUUCUGUGCUGAGAAACCAGAAUGCAAACCACAGAGAGCCACAUAUUAGUUUAUCAGACAAGACAGCUAUCACGUAGCAUUGGAUCCAAAGGAAUGCCGUUAUUUAGGAGAGAGUGGAGAGCAGAGAUCUGCCGAGGGAAAGUGCCUGGAGCCUAAGGGCAGAUAAAAGAGAAGAAGGCACUUUAAAGGAAAAAGGGACUAGAAUGCUUUAGAGGUCAGAAGAGAUGGUUCUACCCCAGUGGAUAUUCAGACUUUUGGGCCUGCUAGACUAUGAGAACAGGUAGGCUUUGAAGAUUUACAAUAGUUCAGAAAGCAGUAAGCAAAUGGUCUUGUUUUUAUUAUUCAAACAUUUAAUACAAAGCAGGCAGAUCUUCAGUACUUUACUGGCAUUAAGCAAGAGGAACUGUAUGGAAAAAAAAAAAAAUGAAACCCAGACAACACAUCAAGUUUACUUUCACCAUGAUAAUACUUCACCCUUUUCCCCACUAGAUUUUGACAAGGAAGCUCUUCCUGAGUGUUCCUGCCCUACUUUUUUUUACCACCUUUGCUUCUAUGAUCAGGGAAAUGGAUGAGAGGGUUUUAAGUGGAAAACCAAGGGUCUAGGAGCCUCAUACCUAGAUAAUAAACUUUUGGGGAAAAACUCAGAAUCACACAUGAUUGGGGAAAGAUGGGAUUCUCUAUCCCCUUCUGCAUUUGUUCUUCCUAUCCUCCAGUUGGUGAGGGUUUGUAAGACCAUUCUGUAGUUAUGUGAUGAGGACUGGUCAUGACCAGGUGGAUGAACCCCACCUGAGCACAGUGAGGACUCAACUUGGCCUUUGCACAUCUCGGCCAUGAAUGGCAGUCCUGGGCCUCACACGGACCUAUGUGGUCUUUCUGGGCUCUACCACAAGGCCCUUUGCAAUUCUGUGCUUGAUCUCCUUUGUCUAAAAUGGCACAGUCAGGGGCGCCUGGGUAGCUCAGUCAGUUAAGUGGCUGCCUUCGGCUCAGGUCAUGAUCUCAGGGUCCUGGGAUGGAGCUCCCGCAUCGGGCUCCCUGCUCAGUGGGGAAUCUGCUUCUCCCUCUGCCCCUCUCCCCCACUUAUGCUCUUGCACACACACUCUCUCUCAAAUAAAUAAAUAAAAUCUUUAAAGAAAAUAAAAUGGCAUAGUCAUUGCUUUCCAGGGUCUUGGCUCUCCCCUGACCCCCAGGGCCCCAUAUCUUUUCUUGUACUUCCUCCGCUACUCCCAGGAAAAUCCUAUUCUGGGCUGGGAAAAGCCCCUCUAUCUUGCUUACUUCAUCCAAGAUACCGCCUGUAAAUUCUCUUUUCUAUUUUCUUUCUUCCACACAUCUAAAUUUUCCCAUGGGUUUAGGUUUUGUGAAAUAGAACCUGGAGAUUGUUGCUUUGGGCUCUGCUACAGACCUCUUCAAAAGCAAUGAAACAGAGCCAGCUACUUGUUUGAAAGAUAGACAGGAUAUCUUUGAAAGAUAGAAAGAUAGACAGAGAGAGAAGAAAAAAAAAAAAAACUCCAUAAAUUAAAGGCUUAAAAUAUAUAUUUUUUCAAGUACAUAUGUAUUUGUAAG
Long non-coding RNA from Mirounga angustirostris (Northern elephant seal), 5990 nucleotides. RefSeq lists it as uncharacterized. The transcript has 5 exons. The record is from RefSeq and is a predicted model, not a curated record. Lineage: Eukaryota; Metazoa; Chordata; Mammalia; Carnivora; Phocidae.